RNAcentral lists this long non-coding RNA (308 nucleotides) under Gossypium raimondii (Peruvian cotton). RNAcentral describes it as "long non-coding RNA (GRAI_LNC005422)". The record is from RNAcentral. Lineage: Eukaryota; Viridiplantae; Streptophyta; Magnoliopsida; Malvales; Malvaceae.
GCCUCUGCUCCGAUGAUGACGGAGAGAGCCAAAACUCUCCCUCCCCGAUCUCCUUUAUUAUAUAUAUAUAUGCUUAUAUGUAUUAAUAACAAAACAAAGAACAAAAGAAAGAAGAACUGUCGGAAAAAGAACAGAAUUGCAAAGAGAGAAAAAAAGAAAACCUUUGUUCUAUUGAUUUUUUUUAAUACAAUCUGUGUAUGAGAGUUUUUUUCAAUAUGCCUCGGUAUCCUCCUUUACAGAUUCUGAUUUAAUGGCUUAUGUAGCCGAAAAGAAAAAAUGAAAAAAAAGAGAAUAUGCCAAACCCCUCG